GGAUAACUUACCCUUUAGGACUGGGAUAACUCUGGGAAACUGGGGAUAAUACUGGAUAUUAGGCUAUGCCUGGAAUGGUUUGCCUUUGAAAUGUUUUUUUUCGCCUAAGGAUAGGUCUGCGGCUGAUUAGGUCGUUGGUGGGGUAAUGGCCCACCAAGCCGAUGAUCGGUACGGGUUGUGAGAGCAAGGGCCCGGAGAUGGAACCUGAGACAAGGUUCCAGACCCUACGGGGUGCAGCAGGCGCGAAACCUCCGCAAUGUACGAAAGUGCGACGGGGGGAUCCCAAGUGUUAUGCCUUUUUGUAUGACUUUUCAUUAGUGUAAAAAGCUUUUAGAAUAAGAGCUGGGCAAGACCGGUGCCAGCCGCCGCGGUAACACCGGCAGCUCGAGUGGUAGCUGUUUUUAUUGGGCCUAAAGCGUUCGUAGCCGGUUUGAUAAGUCUUUGGUGAAAGCUUGUAGCUUAACUAUAAGAAUUGCUGGAGAUACUAUUAGACUUGAAGUCGGGAGAGGUUAGAGGUACUACCGGGGUAGGGGUGAAAUCCUAUAAUCCUGGGAGGACCACCUGUGGCGAAGGCGUCUAACUGGAACGAUCUUGACGGUGAGUAACGAAAGCCAGGGGCGCGAACCGGAUUAGAUACCCGGGUAGUCCUGGCCGUAAACGAUGUGGACUUGGUGUUGGAAUGGCUUUGAGUUGUUCCGGUGCCGAAGGGAAGCUGUUAAGUCCACCGCCUGGGAAGUACGGUCGCAAGACUGAAACUUAA
Molecule: ribosomal RNA, 760 nt
Filed under: uncultured archaeon
Lineage: Archaea
Description: bacterial SSU rRNA
Rfam family: Archaeal small subunit ribosomal RNA
Source: RNAcentral